AAGUCGUAACAAGGUUUCCGUAGGUGAACCUGCGGAAGGAUCAUUAACACUUUUUUGUUGAUUGUUGGUUUUUUCUUAAAACCGACAACCACAUCUUAUCCUAUCCAAACUGAAGAGCUUGUGAGCAGUGUGCUUUUUUGUGUCUCUUUCGAGACAAAAAGCUGGCUCCCAUUUUCUCACUUUAUCUUUCACUUUUAAACAAAAACUCAAUCACACAAAUCUAAUUCAUUUGUGAGAUUGCAAACAAUCAAUUUGCUAUCUUGACAAUCUAAAAACAACUUUUAAGAGAUUUACAUCUCAAAAUGUAACCAAACAACUCUUAACAACGGAUAUCUUGGCUCUC
This 343-nucleotide unclassified non-coding RNA is filed under the name fungal sp. RNAcentral describes it as "partial internal transcribed spacer region". The stretch from base 1 to 46 matches the Rfam family "Eukaryotic small subunit ribosomal RNA", at positions 1786 to 1831 of the family's 1831-position model. Lineage: Eukaryota; Fungi. The record is from RNAcentral.